Molecule: long non-coding RNA, 2974 nt
Filed under: Homo sapiens (human)
Lineage: Eukaryota; Metazoa; Chordata; Mammalia; Primates; Hominidae
Description: non-protein coding lnc-DCLRE1C-1:5
Source: RNAcentral
AGUGUCCGGCGCCCCCUUCCCUUCGCCAGGCCCGUUUGGCGCCUUCACUCGGGAAGACGUCGGCCAGGACUUUGCGCUUUGGAGACGUCUUACUUCGGCAGCACUCGCACACUGCGAGAUCCGACACGGGCAGCGGGGACCUAGGGAGCCGGGGACGCUGCCUGUCGGGUACGGUUCCGCAGCUACCGCAGCCCCGUGGGCCAUGGUUAGUCUCCCCCCGACACCGCUCCCUCUAGAGCUCCGGGCUUCGGAAGCGGCUGCACGUGGGCAUGGCUGGAGAGGUUCCGCUGGCUUGGGGCAGUCGCCGGGAUUCCGACUGGUUGGUGUGGGGUGUGGCCUGUGCUAUCCAGCUCCCAGCUGAUCCUAAUGUGCGGCACAGCGGAAACCACCGGUCCACAUCAGUGCUUCUCACUUAAAGGGGCUUACGAAUCGUCGGGGGUGGGGGAGCUGGACUUGGAAUUUUUUAAGAGAUGAGGUCUCACUCUGUCACCCAGGCUGGAGUGCAGUGGCGCGAUUACGGCUCACUGCAGACUAGACCUCCUGGGCUCAACUUUAAUGUAAAUUGGGAUUGGGUAGGUCUGUAAGGGGACCCGAGCUCCCCUCCCAUGUUGUUGCCAAGCUCCUGAGCUCGGCCUGGUGGCGGGUGGGGGCCGGGAGGAGAAGGACACGUUAGUAAGGAAGCUGCAGGACGACUCCAGGGGCCUCCCACCUGGUCUCCACCCCCCUCCCCCACCCAUUCUUGACGCUGCAUCCAUGAUUGUUCUAAACAACCUAAAGCAGAAAUCUUAGAGCAAAUAACGAAAACUGGCAGAAGGCCAUUUGAUAUCUCCUUAAAAAAUUCAUGUAAAAAAUUACAUAAACGUUUCAAAGCAGUAUGUAUAAAUUUGAAAUACUGGAAAUGAACGCAGACCAUUAAAGGAAUAGUUAAUUAUUUGAUUCCAUUAUGAAAUACUGUCUAGCCGUCUUAAAAAGGUGUUCAUGAAGCUUUUAGUAUUCAGCAAAACCAAAACAAAUCCCCCUGAAAUAUAGUUUUAACUAUGGAAGAAAAAAAUGUAUAGGAAAAUAACGAAAUAGCCUUUUCGGAGUGAUUUUCUUUUUAACUUCUCGUUUUUAAAUAUUUAAUCAUUUUCUACGAUGGGAAACACCACUUCCUCACACACACUCAUGCUCCCAGACUUUAUUUAGCUACAAACGGCAUCAUAAUACAAAUACUGUUCUGCAGUCCGUGUGUGUUUCAAUGCAACUGCAUUUCUCAGACAUGUUUCUAAGAUUUGAGUCCUUAGUAAAUUUUGUAUUCCAUAUCUCAUUACCUUGAGAUAAGGAAUAAAAGGCCCUGUCCAACCCUGUCACCUGGAAGAGCAUCCAGGCCCUUUAAGGCUUAGUCUAUCUAGGAUUAUGCCUUCAGACUUGGAUACAGCCUCCCGUCCUAACCGGCCCCUGUAUUCAUUACCUCUCCUGUAUGUUUUCAGAGCCCACCAAGGAGCGGCCAUCGCUACUCACUGGCCACUCUUGAAUCCUUUUUGGCUCCUUUUCCUCAGUCCAACCUGGGUUCCUCAGAGAAGAGACUGUAGUCCUGGGACUGCAUUUCUUUUCCGCCCUCUCCCUAUGUGACUGCCCCAAUUCCCAUGGAUUUAAAUAGCAUCUUGACACACAAGAUGCCUCACUUAUCGUCUCCGGCCCUGGCCUCUGCCUGAAUUCCAGGCUAGAAUAUCCACAGUGCGUAAUGGACAUAUGCCCUUAGGUGUUGCACAAACAUCUCAAAUUGAACAUAUCCGGAAAAAUACACUUCUGAACUUCGUAGCAUUCAGAAUAAAACUCAAACCUCCAGAUGGCCGGCAGGGCCUCCAGUGAUGGGAAUCCUGUCUCACCUCACUUGGUGCCACUCUCCCCUUUACUCAUUUUCCUGGCCUUUCCCCGGCCCCACUUACCCAGAAAUCUUUUACUGUGCAUCUCCUAUGUGCCAGGCACCUGAUAGGUGCUGGGAAUAUAGCAGUGGAUGAGAAAGAAAAAAGACCCAGUCCUCAUGGAGCUGACUUCCUAGUGACAGGAGCAGCGGAUAAAGCAAAUCACUGAAGGCAGCUGGAAAUUACUUUCCGGUUAAGAGGACAGGCUCCUUCCCCUCCUCACAUGGCUACCUUCAGAUCACUUGGGUCUCAGCUUAAACACCACCUAUUGACAGAGGCCUCGCAUGUUACCUCAUUCUUUAGCCCUACUUUGCAUCCUUAAAAAGCACUCAUCAAAAUUUGCAAUUAUCUUGUCGGGUUUUUGUUCUUUGGUCUUGAUUCAUAAUGAAUGCAUCGCACUAUUUUGUAAAUCCAGUGUUUCGUUUCGUGUCUUGAAUCCCAUCCAUUCCAGCGCAUAGAUGAGGCCCUGUCUGUUCAACAUUCAUCACCGUGUUUACUAUCUAGAGCAGCAAUUCUCAAAGUAUGGUAAUUGGGACCCGAAGACUCUUCACAGGGUUCAUGAGCGCAAAACUAUUUUCAGACCAACAUGUUCUCUGCCUUCCUUCGCUCAUGAGUACAUAGUGGAAUUUUCUAGAGGUUACACAAUUUGAAUAUUGCAACACAUUGAACGAAGACGCAGGUACCAGAACAUAGCUAUCUCCUAUUAAGCCAGACAUUAAAGAGAUUUGAAAAAAUACAAAAUACUGCUUUUGGCUAGGCAAAGUGGCUCGCACGUAUAAUCUUGGCACUUUGGGAGGCUGAGGAAUUGCUAGAGACCAGCCAGGGCAACCCUACUAAAAAAUUAGCUGGGCGUGGUGGCACAUGCCUGGGGUCCCAGCUACUCAGGAAGCUGAGGUGGGAGGAUCGCUUGAGCCCAGGAGUUUGAGGGUGUAGUGAGCUAUGAUCAAACCACUACAUUGCAGCCUGGGCAACAGAGCAAGACCCUGUCUCAAGACAAAAAACAAAAAAUAAAACCCCAGAUACCACCCUUGCCACUAAUUUUUUGUCUUAGAAAAAUUAUUUCUCAUAAA